Molecule: non-coding RNA, 134 nt
Organism: Triticum aestivum (bread wheat)
Lineage: Eukaryota; Viridiplantae; Streptophyta; Magnoliopsida; Poales; Poaceae
Source: Rfam
AUAGUACUCCCUCCGUCUGAAAAUACUUUCAUCAAAAAGAACAAAAAGAGAUGUAUCUAGACGUAUUUUAGUUCUAGAUACAUCCCUUUUUAUUCAUUUUGAUGACAAUUAUUUUCGGACGGAGGGAGUAGGUG